UUGCUUUGGAGAAAGGAGAGAGAACCAAAGAUAAGAGGCUGCCAAUCGAUUAACCUAAGGUAAGGGUGGGACUAACAUUCAAUCUUCUUAAGCCUAUGAUUUUGAUAAUUAGAUUUAAAUGUUGUAGGUUAUAGUUUUUGAGAAUUUGAGAAUUAGGAUUAGAAGUUGUAAAUUGUUGAUAAGAUGAUAGAAACCUGUUGGAUUGAUGUAGAACGUGUUUGAUUGUAUAAUUAAAUUGACUUUGUUAUAUUUUCUUUCGAGUGAAUUUACAAUUCGGGAGAGAUACUGCAUAGAAAUAUUAUAAAAAUCCUUAUUUUGAUAAAUUAAUUUGAGGUAUCUAAUUUUGACUAUGGUUCAGAAGUCUCCGAAACCAAUGCUUUUCUUAUCUCUAUUUGAAUAUGUGUUUUGUGGUAUCUAGUUUGACAGAAGAUUAAUUUUAACUAACAGUAGCAUGAUGCUAUUACCUAUUGAAAGAAAUAUACUACUUAAGAAGCUAAUGAUCCAAAACGAGAUGCCAUCCAAAAGGUUUGGAACAUACACACUCUUUUGAUUAGGUAUAGCUUUGAAUGAAAAUUGUUUCUUUAAAUUGCCAAUGAUCUUGCAUUUCGAUGAGCCUCAAUUCAAUUAUUGUUGAACUUGAUUCAAAAUAGUCUGAUGCAAUAUUAUGAGUACAUAUGUUCACUAGUUUAGGAUUACUAUUACUAUUAUUAUAAUAAAUUGAAUUUUAAGACAGCUUCUAAAUUCAAUUAGUCUUGCUUCAAAAUGUUUACAUACUAAUUGGCAUCUUUAUCCUGCCCUUGUUAAUUGGCUCACGAUAUCAUACUAUUAUUUUGUGAAAGAAUUCUAGUUCUAUUUUUACUAUAUGUUUUUCAUAAUUUUUCUUGACGUGUAAAUAAUUUAUAUGAAUUAUAUGAAUGUAUGAUUGUUGAAGUUGAUGGUGAUUGUCAUUUGAUAUUGUUAUAUCAUGAGCUGUUUUAUGUGCUGCCUAUGUUGCUGUUUGAUAUUAAUUAAGCUGCAUGUGUUGGUCUAAUUUGUAAAAUUGUAAGUUGUCUUUCCAAAGUAUUGGAAUCUUAAGUUGUUAAUGUUGUCUAAGUUGUUGAAGUCAGAGUUGAAGGUGUUGUUGGUGACUGUUUAUGUUCAGGUGUUUUGUGAGAGGUGGUGUACUCUUACGUUGUUGUUCUAUAAAAGGUGGUGUACUCUUAUGUUGUUGUUCUAUAAAAGGUGGUGUACUCUUAUGUUGUUGUCCUAUAAGAGGUGGUGUACUCUUACGUUGUGGUUUAUAAGAGGAGGUGUACUCUUACGUUGUUAUUCUUUUAGAGGUGGUGUACUCUUAGUUGUCGUUUAUAAGAGGUGGUUUACUCUUACGUUGUUAUUCUUUAAGAGGUGGUGUACUCUUAGUUGUCGUUUAUAAUAGGUAGUGUACUCUUACGUUGUUAUUCUUUAAGAGGUGAUGUAUUCUUACGUUGUUAUAUUAUAAGAGGUGGUGUACUCUCAUGUAGCUGUGUUGUCAGGUUGACGUUGUCGUCGUCGAAUCGUUGAAGUUGUUGUUGAUGACAAACCAUGGAAUAUUAAUGAUUAUGUUGUGUUUAUAUUAUUAUAAGAUGAUGAAUAUGUUGUUGCUUAUGUUAUUAUAAGAUGAUGAUUGUAUUGUUGUUUAUAUUUGUUAUGAGUUAAUGAUGAUUAGAAGUGAAUUGGACUAUUAAUGAAAUACUAUAUGAAGAAUUGUUAUUAUUAAUUAAUAAUGUUUAUGUUGCUAAAUUUAAUUGUUGAAUUAUAUGCUUAAUAUUAUUGUUUGUGAAAUCUCACCCCUUCUGCUUGAAAAUGUUGCUCUUCGUAUGAGUAACUUGCAGGUGAUCAAGAGUAGGUUGCUGUGUUUUUGAUGUUGUGAGUGGCUAUCCCUCACCGAGUCGUUUAGGUGCUCUGAUACGUAACGGGAUGGGAACUUUGUUGCAUGCUUCUCUAUUCCUUACGUAUUGUUUAUAUAUUUACAUGAUUAAGUUGUUAAUUGGAUUUUUAUGGGAUGUAUUGAUGAGGCCUUUGUGCCAAGACUUUUUAUGUUAAUGAAUUUAAUCCGCUGCAAAGUUUGAAUUAAUUUGUUGAAGGAUAAAUUAGUUAA
Molecule: long non-coding RNA, 2116 nt
Filed under: Medicago truncatula (barrel medic)
Lineage: Eukaryota; Viridiplantae; Streptophyta; Magnoliopsida; Fabales; Fabaceae
Description: long non-coding RNA (MTRU_LNC003706)
Source: RNAcentral